This 497-nucleotide ribosomal RNA is filed under the name uncultured bacterium. RNAcentral describes it as "partial 16S ribosomal RNA". It matches the Rfam family "Bacterial small subunit ribosomal RNA", at positions 28 to 507 of the family's 1533-position model. The record is from RNAcentral.
GAUGAACGCUGGCGGCGUGCCUAAUACAUGCAAGUCGAGCGAACGGACGAGAAGCUUGCUUCUCUGAUGUUAGCGGCGGACGGGUGAGUAACACGUGGAUAACCUACCUAUAAGACUGGGAUCACUUCGGGAAACCGGAGCUAAUACCGGAUAAUAUUUUGAACCGCAUGGUUCAAAAGUGAAAGACGGUCUUGCUGUCACUUAUAGAUGGAUCCGCGCUGCAUUAGCUAGUUGGUAAGGUAACGGCUUACCAAGGCAACGAUGCAUAGCCGACCUGAGAGGGUGAUCGGCCACACUGGAACUGAGACACGGUCCAGACUCCUACGGGAGGCAGCAGUAGGGAAUCUUCCGCAAUGGGCGAAAGCCUGACGGAGCAACGCCGCGUGAGUGAUGAAGGUCUUCGGAUCGUAAAACUCUGUUAUUAGGGAAGAACAUAUGUGUGAGUAACUGUGCACAUCUUGACGGUACCUAAUCAGAAAGCCACGGCUAACUACGUG